AACGACUCUCGACAACGGAUAUCUCGGCUCUCGCAUCGAUGAAGAACGUAGCGAAAUGCGAUACUUGGUGUGAAUUGCAGAAUCCCGUGAACCAUCGAGUCUUUGAACGCAAGUUGCGCCCGAAGCCAAUAGGCCGAGGGCACGUCUGCCUGGGUGUCACACA
RNAcentral lists this ribosomal RNA (163 nucleotides) under Apium graveolens. Its description in RNAcentral is "5.8S ribosomal RNA". It matches the Rfam family "5.8S ribosomal RNA". From Rfam's summary of the family: 5.8S ribosomal RNA (5.8S rRNA) is a component of the large subunit of the eukaryotic ribosome. It is transcribed by RNA polymerase I as part of the 45S precursor that also contains 18S and 28S rRNA. Lineage: Eukaryota; Viridiplantae; Streptophyta; Magnoliopsida; Apiales; Apiaceae. RNAcentral also lists the same sequence under 4 other names. The record is from RNAcentral.